GGAAAGCCAAGAGGCUGUAAGGACAUGCAGACAAUGGCUCAAGAGGGCAGCACAUCACUGGCCACAGGCACCACGGCCUCGUGGUGCUGGUGACACAACUGAGCAGUCCCUGGAAUGGAGGAAUUGUGGUCAGGUGGAUGAGGUGAGUUUUAUUUCACCUCAUUUUGCAUUUGGAGCACAGAGGAAGAACCCAGCUGCUUUAAAGUCACCAACAAACUCCAGGCCACAUGUGGGAGUCCACCUCAGAGCUCCUGCAGCCCAGUUCAAUGUCCCAAACCACCCUUCCCACCAGGUUCACACAGACAUUUGCUCUCCUGCAUCACAGAACAGGAAAGAUGCUCCACUCUGUGUUUAACCAGCCACAAGGGGUGACUCAGCUGAGCACCAUUAAAAAUGCAUCAUGCUAAAUUCCAGGCAGAAAAGAUUAGAAAGUGGAAUUUCAGCAAGCAACCCUCGUGACUGGCCCCCAUUUCAGAGGUCUUCAGCUCCUUCUGGUGGGACAAACCUCACCACACCCACAGGUCCUGUAACCAAACCUUGCCAAAAGGAGCGUGGUCUCCACCACGGGGGCUCUGCCUGGCUUGGCUGUUGAUGAAGAUGAGGGGUCUUUAAUGGGUUUAGUGCUGGGCUGACAGUGGUCAGGUCACAAUCCUGCUCCCUGGCCUUGAGCCCUGCUUGUGCAGAGCUGGUUUCUGCACGGGACUGAUUAGCUGGGAGGAGAAAAAUGGCCUUGAAAAGGUCUCUGCAGGCACACAGAGCCUGGCCUGUCUGUGAGGAGGGACAAGGACCCUUUUGUGCCCUGGGCUCUGCUGACACACGAUCUCCGAGCGAGCCCAUGGGUCAGGAAUCAAAUUAAAAUGCAUUUCCUCCCUUCCCGUAAGAGAAGCCGGAUUGAUGUCCCUGCUGUUCCCUGCCUUACGGGAAGCCUGUGGAAAUGGGGGGUUGCAAGGAGACAAAUCCAGCCCAGGAGCUCAGGGACCAGCAGCUCCUGCAGGUGAAAAGCUGUGAGGAAAGGUGCCCUUGGAAUGAGUGAGUGGGAUGUACCCUGACCCAAACCUCACCGGGAUUUUAGGGGGAAAAAAGCAAUCCCAGCCUUUUCAGGUGAAGGGCUCAGCUCUAACCUGGUGCCACCAUGCUGAGGGACAGCAUGGCCAUGCCCUUUCUUGCAAAAUAAACAACAGAUCCAGAGCUAUCCUGCCCCUACCUCCAACCCAGAUCCUGUAGGGAAGGAGGAAAAGACAAUCUCCUUGAAGCUGCCAGCCUGGGUGAUGUCUCACCAAAAUAAAGCACUUUGGUACUGAAAAGCACCUUGACAACUGUUUGCUGAGGGACAAGGGAUGAAAUGAUGCUUCCAGCCCAUCACAAGGGGAUAACUCCAGUCCUUGCUCCGGGGACUGGAUCAAACAACCUGUCCAGAAGUGCACUGACAGCAUCCCUGACGAUGUUUCCCCCAUCCUGCUGCUUUCCCCUUGGAGCAGAGCAGGAACAGGGCUGGCUGAGGCUCACACUUCCCAAGGACAGGGGUGGAAACCACACACACACACCAGAUAAUCUGCAAUAUCUGCAAAAACCCCACUACAACUUUGGCAACCACUCUGUGAUGAAAAUCAGGAGCCAGCAGUGUCCUGGCCUUGGGGUUUUGCUUUUCCUGCGCUCAGCUCAGCUUUGCUCCCAUCCUGCUUCCCCCGAGUCCUCAGCAGUGUGGCUGUGGGUGGAGAGGGUUAACAGAGCUCUGGCAGAUGGGAAAACAUUUUCCAGCUGCUGUUCUCCGCAGUUUCUUCCUUCCCUCUGAGCUUUGCAGCUCUGUGGCCAGGCAGAGAGAGGUUGCCCGCAGAGCUGGCAGCUGAUGAAACGGGUUGGACAGGCCACCGUGGCCGAGGGAAGCCACACAAGAUGCCCUAAAAGGCUCAGGGAAAGGUUACAGACUUCCAGAGGCUUCAGCCUGGCAUGGGAUUUCUCCAUCUGCUUUCCCUCUCUCGCCUGCACAUAACUCAGCACUGAUGGGGGGAGAUCACCCUGAAUUCCAGCUCAUCUUCCCUGAGGAAGGCUCCUGGGACCCCAGUGAGAAAACCCAGCCAUCUGUAAGCCAAGGUGGGGAAUCUCCUCUGGCUGCCCAGGGAUGUGCCAAGCCCCUCAUCUCCACCUCCAGGACAAGGAGCACGCAGUGUUUGCUGGUUGGUUUGAAUGGAGCCUUGUCCUUGCUGUCGUGCUCUCCCUCCUUUUCCUUCUGGGAAUGCAAAAGCCUUUAUUUUUCCUCUUUUUUUCACCCUAGUUUUGCCCAGAAUCCCUGGGACAAAACCUGCUGUGUGUGCCGGGCCCGUGGCUGCAGUCCACCCCGUAGCUGCAUCCGCAGGGAGCGAGCUGGAGAGGCCAGGGCCAGCCAAGGCAUCGAAGGCACAAGGGCUGGCAGCUGGCACUGCCCUUCGCUGUGCCCACGGGUGGCACCAAUGCCAGCUGUGACACCCCGAGCCUCCGGCAGGGACGAGGGGAGGGCCAAGGCAGCCACAAUCCCCGAGGAUGCCAAGCAGGAUAAACACUUCUGUGAUCCCCAAAAGCAAAGAAAGUGCAAAAGCAAAAAAUGCUUUGGUGAGAAUCACCUGCAUCUGCCUUGUCACUUCAUCUCCCGGCCCUUUCCGAGGUCACAGUGGGAGGUUUUUUCUCUGGCAUUGGAUGCAGGUGACCAGGCACAGCUUUUUGGGUGCCCUCCAGCCACCCACUCAGAGUUUCCUCCAUGCUGAACCACAGGUUGCAGUGGCUGGACCAUCCCUGUCUCUGCAGUGUGGCCUUGGACCUGUUUAUCCCAUGAGCUUUUUCCCACAAAACCUCAGUGCCAGAGGAUGAAGGCAGCACAGGAGGGGAGCCUGGUGAUGAGAAGACCCUGGGCAGAUCACUGCCCUCAAAUUAAGCACCCACAGGCAUGUGCACGUGAAGUCAGCAUCCCAAAAUGCUCCUGUAACUGUAUCUGCCAGGGAUAUUUAGACCAGCCAGCAUGGGAAAGGAGGGGGCUGUCAUGGGAGAAGGUCACGGGCAGCUCAGGCAUGGGCAGCACUCCACAGGGAGACCACGGGACGGGCACUGCAUUUCCAAGUAAAGGCCUUCACUCCUGAUUUCUGCCCCAUUUUCCAGCAUUCCCAGUGCCGCCCCAGCCGUGUUUCAUGCUGGAAUUUGCCAGGCAGCAGCGAAGUCACUGAAGACAGCAAAGCACAACCAAAUCACGGCUGCGAUUAAUACGUUUUCACAGGGGGCUGAUGAGGUUUAAUUGGCCUUCCCAAAUAAUUAAUGUGGAUUAAUUUCCCAGCAGGACCUCACAGAGGCAGCCCUUGGCUGUGCCACGGCUCCCAUUGUUUUAUGCUGGAGGCUGAAACCACGAUCCCUUCACGGCAUCUUCUCCCUGACUCCCUUCCAAAGGACACACGGAGGACGUGGGUGUUUCCCCUGCCCUGGUUCUGAGGCAUUUAGUAGGCUCAUCAAAAUCCUCGCUCAGGACCAGGAACCACUCGAGACUCUGGGAAGCAAACGACCUGGAAUCGUUUUUCACUGCUCUGGGGUUGUGGUUCCAGCCCUUUGUGACCAAAAGCAAACAGGCAAGGCGUUCGGGAGCUCCCGAGCCUGCUCGGAGCCGCGAGACAGGAUCCGGCCGGAAUCUGAGCCUGCCAAACUGCCUGCUGUCCAUCUGCCCUUUCCCUUUGGAUCCUUCCUGCCACGGUCACCUUCAGAGCCUUUCUCCUCCGGGCUGGCCCCGGCCACCAGUGUGGGCUGAGGACCUUCCCAGCUGUCCCAGCUCCACCAUCCCCAGCGUUUCUCUCCGACAAUCCCAAGGCAAAAACUCCAAAAUUCUUUUCCAGGACAGGCAAGCAGCUUUAAGGAGCUUUAUCCAUCUCCCUGCCAGACAACAUCCCUCCUUUAUCCCUGCUGGGUGUGAUCUACCCCUUCCUCCAUCCCCAACACAGCCGGAACACCUCAAUUAAACCAAAACCUUGCAAAGAAUCUGUAUUUCUGUUCCUACCAAAAAGCACCUUUGGAGGGCAGCUCCACUCCAGAAAUGCUGCCUCAGUUUCCCCUCCUGUCAGCAGGCUGAGAAACAGCAGAGUUGAAUUUGUUUUCUCCGUGAAAAAUAUUUUUCUGGGGGUGUUUUGGUUUCCUAGACGGUUUUUCAGUAACUUGAUCCAAGCUAAAAAGGGGAGAGAAAGCCUGGAGAAAUGACAUAACAAGUUUAAAAGAACUUUGGAACUUUGUUUGGAGGUCAAAUAAAAGGUUUUGCUUUGAGAGAAAUCGCGUCUUCUGGGAAUUUCUGUUUUCCCCCAAGAAACUCCCUGAAUCAAUCUUCCUUCCAGCUUUUGCUUCUCUGGGGGUACCAAAACCUCCUGCCUUGCUCCACACCAUGGGAAAUCAGUCGGGAUUAACCAAACGUGUGGCUUUAAAGUGAAUUAAGAAAGAAUUAAAACCAUCAGUGACAACGGUAAUCAAGGCCACCUUCAUUCAGUUGAACCUGACUCAAUUCCCAGCACGGCAGGGCUCUGGGGAUGGAUCCUUCUGGAAGCAAACAUCAACCCUGGCCAAUAUUUAAUCCCUCCAUCAACACUUCCCUUCCUGCUUCAGCAAAGUUGAUGCUCCCUGCCUGUUUUUCCCUGCUGUGGGAUAGGGGCAGAUCCUAUUUGAGCCCUCAGACUUCCAGUUUUAAUUAUUCCAUGGGGGAAACCGAGCACUUGGAUCCUUUAGGCUUCCUGGAGGUACAAGGAGGCAUUUCUGUCCGGAGUUUGACUUUGCUUUUGCCCUCCAUGACCUUUUGAUGCCCACUGGAGGCAGGAACAGUCAGAGAGAAGAGUGUGGGACCAGUUUCUGGCCCAUUUGGUAACCCUACAAGCUCCGUAUGUGGGAGAAAGGACAUUUCCAUGGAGACCUCCCAGCCUCCUGCCCACACCAAGGGAGUCACAACCACCCUGGAAAAACCAAAGGCAGUCAGGGGGACAACCAGGAUAACACAAUUACCGGGCUCCACCGCCAGAAAACCCCACAGGGGGAGGACUUUGGGGGAUAAAUUUUUUUGCUCCACAGGCAGCAUCCCGUGGAGGCAACAGGGGCUUUGCUCCAUGGGUGGUUCCCAGUCAGGUUUUUAGUGGGGGCUGCUCAGCACUGGGGAGGGAGCCCGGCAGCACGCUCGGCUGCCAGAGAACUAUUCGUGGCUUUGGCUUCGUGUCAACAACCCGAGAUAAAAAUCGCACUGGGCAGAGACAGGAUAAAGUCACUCAGUGCCACGACCGUCAGAAAUCCUUCUGGAGCUUUUAUAACCCACUAAGCCCGGGGAUGUGGCUGUGCUUCGGGGCUCAGAGCAUUUUGGGGUCUCUCCCUUUGCACUGGAGCCCCUUAACCUAUCAGCCACCCGUUGCUUGAGGGAAAACAAGAGGAAUUUGGUGGUCAUGAAACAGCCAAUUUUGGCAGCAGUGAUCACAAGCUAGGGCCACCAUCCCCCAGUGCUGGUGGCCCCCCAGAGCUGGGUUUGCUGCUCCUCACCUCGUGUACAGGAAGGCAGUGGGUUGCCAAAUGGCUUUUGCAAUAAACUGAUAAGAAAAACUGGAACAGAAGGAGAAAUGAGAUGUUUUGCCCCUAAAGUUGUUCCUGCAGUGAUGUCAGCCAGUGCCCAGCCCAGGGAAGAAGAGUGCUUUGGGUGUUAGGAGGUGCUAGAAGGAGUCAAAAAGUUUGAAAUGAGAGUAUCGCCAUUGCAGUGUAAAUUAAAACACUCCCAAAGAAAUUACACAGGGAGCCCAACAUGCAAAGAGGUGGAAAAACACGCGCAGCAGAGCAGGGAGUCAGCUCCAUGGUUUAACCUGAGCUGCGUGCAGGAAAUCACAGACCAACAGCGAGGGAACUCCCCAGGGAAGGGAGAAACCGAGCAGCAAAGACAUUAUUGUGAAUUAAGGCAUUAAAUACCCAACAAUUCAGGCGAAGAGGAGCAAAAGGAGCAGGAGGCUUCCCUGCCUGCCCAGCCUGAACCAUUUGUGCCAGCACCCUCCCAUGCCAGCGACUCCCGGCCGGCUGCGGGUGCCACUGCCCCGUCUUGGGGCACUUCGGGGCUUUUUAGCGGCAGCAUGCGGCAGAGAGGGGGACAGCAGGAGCGUCGGGCUUCGGCUCUGUCCGCGCAGUGCCCCACUCCCUGCUCUGGGUGCGCGGGGACGCUGUGUCACCCGUGUCACCCAGACAGCAACAAGUGCCACCACCAGCUCCGCGAGGCUGCUGGGACCAAGACUGAUGGCAGAACUGGGAUGUUGGGACUUUUCAUCAUUGGUGGAUCCAGGAGGACACAGCUGAAGGUUUGCUGGAGGUGGCUGCUGCCCUGGGGAAGCAGCGGCCAGGUCCAGCCCAACCUUCCUCCUUCACCUGGGUGAGAAACCUUGGGAUUUGUGGGGCUGGAGGAACAGGCACAGCCCCACGGGACCACGUGCAGGUGGCCCAGUUGUUUUCCACCGCCGCGAGCCCCGGUGUUCCCCCGAGUAUUCCCCAUCUGUGUCCCUGGGUGACAGCCAGAUCCUCCUUCCCCAGCUGGAGCUGAUUUCAUCUGGGGGUCCCUGGGCCUCCUGGCUGUGGCUGGGGGGCCAUGAAGCCCCUGAUGGAGGAGGGGAAGGACACCAAUGGCAUCUAUUAUUCAACAGCAGAAAGUGGCAGCUGGCUAAGGAGGCAUUUAGAGGAUAUGAACUCCUGGCAUGGACACAGUGCUGCAGAGAUUUUGCUCACGGACCUCCAUGCCAGAAAAGAGCAAAAAAAUAUA
This is a long non-coding RNA of Onychostruthus taczanowskii (white-rumped snowfinch), 6763 nucleotides long. RefSeq lists it as uncharacterized. The transcript has 3 exons. The record is from RefSeq and is a predicted model, not a curated record. Lineage: Eukaryota; Metazoa; Chordata; Aves; Passeriformes; Passeridae.